GAUGAACGCUGGCGGCGUGCCUAAUACAUGCAAGUCGAGCGAACAGACGAGGAGCUUGCUCCUCGGACGUUAGCGGCGGACGGGUGAGUAACACGUGGAUAACCUACCUAUAAGACUGGGAUAACUUCGGGAAACCGGAGCUAAUACCGUAUAAUAUAUUGAACCGCAUGGUUCAAUAGUGAAAGACGGUUUUGCUGUCACUUAUAGAUGGAUCCGCGCCGCAUUAGCUAGUUGGUAAGGUAACGGCUUACCAAGGCGACGAUGCGUAGCCGACCUGAGAGGGUGAUCGGCCACACUGGAACUGAGACACGGUCCAGACUCCUACGGGAGGCAGCAGUAGGGAAUCUUGCGCAAUGGGCGAAAGCCUGACGGAGCAACGCCGCGUGAGUGAUGAAGGUCUUCGGAUCGUAAACCGCUGUUAUUAGGGAAGAACAAAUGUGUAAGAAACUAUGCACGUCUUGACGGUACCUUAUCAGAAAGCCACGGCUAACUACGUG
This 497-nucleotide ribosomal RNA is filed under the name uncultured bacterium. Its description in RNAcentral is "partial 16S ribosomal RNA". It matches the Rfam family "Bacterial small subunit ribosomal RNA", at positions 28 to 507 of the family's 1533-position model. The record is from RNAcentral.